This 663-nucleotide long non-coding RNA is filed under the name Heterocephalus glaber (naked mole-rat). Its description in RNAcentral is "lncRNA (ENSHGLG00100041036.1)". The record is from RNAcentral. Lineage: Eukaryota; Metazoa; Chordata; Mammalia; Rodentia; Bathyergidae.
CACUGUGUAGCUCAAGCUGGCCUUGAACUCACUAUGUAGCCUAGGUGGGCCCUGAACUCAUGGUAAUCUUCCUGCUUCAGCCUCCCAAGUCCUGGGAUUACAGGUGUCCACCACUGCACCCAGAGGAAUAUCUUUUUUGAGGCAAAGACCUUCAUUGUCACAGUGGGCUCCCACAGAUUGAGAUGAAAUUUAGGUGCAAUGAGGCCAAUGACACCAUUAGAUCACAUCAUUUGCAGUAUUUCCAUUGAGGUAUUUACCACAUUACUGAUAAAGCAACUGAGCCUAGGACAAGGAAGAUAAACCAGCUCAAAAUCACAGAGCAGGGUAAGUCCUUGAGCUUCUGCAAACUUGGAAGAGAAAAUUAAUACCAGAACUAUUCAAGAACCAGGGGAUCCCAGAAGGUUCCAUUUACUUAUGCAUCAAGUGGGAAAACAAGACCAGCCGCCUCUACUGGCAGGGAAUCUUGUGGGAAAUGUGGGCAUGGACAUACACAGAAGGAAGAUAGUGUGAAGACACAGCAGAAUGCAGACAUCUGCCAGCCUGGGGGAGAGGCCUCAGAAGAAACUGAACUGGCCAACAAACUUGAUUUUGGACUUCCAGCCUCCACACUUGUGAGAAAAUACAUUUCUGUUAUUUAAGCCAUCCAGUCUGUGGUACUUUGUU